Molecule: long non-coding RNA, 1258 nt
Organism: Cygnus olor (mute swan)
Lineage: Eukaryota; Metazoa; Chordata; Aves; Anseriformes; Anatidae
Exons: 3
Source: RefSeq, a predicted model, not a curated record
GGGGCAUCAUGGGAGCGGCGCGGCAUGGCGGAGCCAGCGCCCUGGCAGCCCCGGGGCAUGGCGGGAGGGGGCGCCAUGGCGGGCGGCGACGGGGUCAGAUCCUGAGGGGAGCCCGCUAGAACCAAGCCGAGGGCAGUGGUGUAAAGUAAAUGAACUAAAUAUAAGCUAUGUACGUAAUUUGUGCAGAAAUGCCACUGGAAGGCUGUAUGUGAAAAACAAAGAAAAGUAGGGAAUGGCUCCUUGUGAACUAUAAAGUCCUGUGAUUUACUUUGCAAAGCUGAUGGUGUACAGCGGACCAGACUCCUGGGUGAAACCCAAGCCUUGCUGAAAUCUGCGGGCUCAUCCCAAGCACAGAUUGGACCCCGACUGCAUGAGCUGAGUGAUCUUCUGAAUGAAAACCAAUAGCCGUUUUUCAUCUGGAUGAACCACAGGAGUGAAAGAGUUCAACAAAUGUUAAGAAUUAUUACGUCAAUGAUGUUGUCUUCCUCGGCUGUCUGGGCCAACCUGAGUGGGUGACCAGGGACGAGGGAUUAUGAACUGCUCAUGGCACGCCUAGGAGCCCUUGCUGAAACAUGGAGUCAUGCUCUGCCAAGGGUAUUUGACAGCCUUGCUCUCACGCUAAGUUUCUCAAUCUGUGAGGCACGGCUGGUUGACACAGCGCUACAGAGAGCGUCCCAUCCUGCUCAGAAACACACCGUGAUGAGGUGUGGGGAGCUCGUGUUUGGUUGGAAGCAAGGUGGGGGAUUAUAGAUUGAGAAGGGAUGCACUCGCAGCCAGUGUAGGACAGAACACCUUGCUCCAUCCGGAGCUGUCUCGAGGCACCCAGCACUGUAGGCAGUAUUGAAAUCUGGUGCAUUAAAGGAGAAGGGCCUAGGUCAGAUUGGACUUAGCCUAGAAGGGACCUGGACAAGAAGGAGGAAGAAGGAAUGAGUGAAGGAAAAGAAUGACUCUCUGGAGGAAACUGAAAAUAUGCGCUUCCUUUUCCUGCUGUAGAUAUGGGAGGGGGUGAGACAGCAAGGUUUGCCGCUGAGAAAAGCCGCCCUGCGAGUACUCUUGUCAUCUUACACACCCUGAUGGGCCACGGCAGCAGCACACCCUUCCCUCCAUCCAGCGUGCUUAGAAGAUCAGCUAUGCGGCAGUUUCCUAACUCACCAAGGCUGGGCUUGGGUCAGUCUUUGUGGUCCCUGCGCUUUCCUUCUCCUCAUUUUGAAUUACAAACGGGCAGAUUAUUUUUUAAUAAGUUUGGAUACCAUUUGAG